RNAcentral lists this ribosomal RNA (716 nucleotides) under Relicina abstrusa. Its description in RNAcentral is "SSU rRNA". It matches the Rfam family "Bacterial small subunit ribosomal RNA", at positions 386 to 1123 of the family's 1533-position model. The record is from RNAcentral. Lineage: Eukaryota; Fungi; Ascomycota; Lecanoromycetes; Lecanorales; Parmeliaceae.
UACUUGCAUCAUUGUAAUGAUGAUACAAGCUCGACCAUGUUGAAUAAAAUUCUAGGUAGAAUUAUGAUAAUGACAUUGUCUGCCUAUGUGUCUUGACCAAAUUACGUGCCAGCAGUCGCGGUAAUACGUAGAAGACUAGCGUUAUUCAUGUUUAAUCGGUUUAAAGGGUACCUAGACGGUAAAUCAAGCUUUCAAAUAACAGAUAUUAAAAGGACUAAUUUACUAGAGUUACUUAUGAGGGGGCAUUAAAGUACUGCUGGUGUAGAGAUGAAAUUCUGUCAUACCUAUUCUGUAUUGGGACAUAUGGCACAGGUAUAGGCGAAGGCAUCCCCUUAUGUAAUAACUGACGUUGAGGGACGAAGGCUUUGUGUAGCGAACAGGAUUAGAUACCCUAGUAGUCGAAGCAGAAAAUGAUGAAUGUCAUAGAUUAGAUGCAUAAGUUUAUUCUAUAAAUGAAAGUGUAAGCAUUCCACCUCAAGAGUAAUUUGGCAACAUUGGAACUGAAAUCAUUAGACCGUAUCUGAAACCAGUAGUGAAGUAUGUUGUUUAAUUUGAUAAUCCGCAAAAAACCUUACCACAACUUGAAUAUUUAUAAUUAUUGUAUUUUUUUUUUGCAAUAUGUAUUUACAAGCGUUGCACGGCUGUCUUCAGUUAAUGUCGUGAGAUGUUGGUUAGUUCCAUUAAAUUAACGUAAACCCUUAUUAUUUUUAUAUAGA